RNAcentral lists this ribosomal RNA (592 nucleotides) under uncultured euryarchaeote. RNAcentral's name for it is "bacterial SSU rRNA". It matches the Rfam family "Archaeal small subunit ribosomal RNA", at positions 92 to 684 of the family's 1478-position model. The record is from RNAcentral. Lineage: Archaea; Methanobacteriati; Methanobacteriota.
AGUACCACUUAUUUAUUCUGCCCUUAGGUGAGGGACAAGCACGGAAAACUGUGUCAAAUACCUCAAAGGAGUUGAGGGCUGGAUUGUUUUUACUCUGAAACUUCUGGCCAAAGGAUAAGACGGCGGUUGAUUAGUUGGUUGGGGGGGUAACUGCCUACCAGGGUGAUGAUAAGUAGGGCCUCUUAGCGAAGUACCCCCAAGAAGGAAUCUAAAACACUAUUCCUACCUCUACGGAGUGCACCACCUGCAAUUUUUUUACAAUGCACGCAUGUGUGAUAAAGCAAGCCAAAUUGCUAUCUGUUUUACAGUUAGCUUUCCUUCAGUUAAAAACGCUGGAGAAAUAAGGACUGGAAAAGAUCGGUGCCACCCGCCGCGGUAAUCCCGACUGUUCGAGUGCCAUCCACUUUUAUUGGGUCUAAAACAUCCGUAGCUUGUUGGUUAAUUCUCUUGUGAAAUCCCAUGUCUCAAGCAUGGGGCUUGCAGGAAAUACUGGCCAGCUAAAGACCGGUAGGCGUAAGAAGUACGGCCAAGGUAUUGAUUAAAUACGUUAUUCUUGCUUGAACUAACAAUUUAGCGAAGGCACCUUACAAGA